UACGUAGGGCGCAAGCGUUAUCCGGAAUUAUUGGGCGUAAAGAGCUCGUAGGUGGUUUGUCGCGUUGUUCGUGAAAUCUCACGGCUUAACUGUGAGCGUGCGGGCGAUACGGGCAGACUAGAGUACUGCAGGGGAGACUGGAAUUCCUGGUGUAGCGGUGGAAUGCGCAGAUAUCAGGAGGAACACCGGUGGUGAAGGCGGGUCUCUGGGCAGUAACUGACGCUGAGGAGCGAAAGCGUGGGGGGCGAACAGG
This 253-nucleotide ribosomal RNA is filed under the name uncultured bacterium. RNAcentral describes it as "partial 16S ribosomal RNA". It matches the Rfam family "Bacterial small subunit ribosomal RNA", at positions 524 to 776 of the family's 1533-position model. The record is from RNAcentral.